Long non-coding RNA from Engraulis encrasicolus (European anchovy), 2703 nucleotides. RefSeq lists it as uncharacterized. NCBI's taxonomy places the organism in Eukaryota, Metazoa, Chordata, Actinopteri, Clupeiformes, Engraulidae. The record is from RefSeq and is a predicted model, not a curated record. The transcript has 2 exons.
GGCUUAAUGUUUUUGUAUUGCAUAAAUAUGACAAGUAACUAUCCACUUAGCAGUAAGUUCGUCAUUAUCUUUAUAUUCGUCAUCAAAUGGAUUUAAUAUUAUGGUUGUAUUCAUGGAUCUUUCUGGACAGUGGGUGAUGUGUGUCGGCCGUUAACGUUAGCAUAUCUCCAUGGACAGCUAAGUGUCUAUGAUGUUAAAUUAUUAGGCCUAUGUUGAGUAUAACUAUUUUAUUCGUAAGUAUAAAAUGGAAGUUAACACAUCUCCUCCCAGUCGUUGUUUGGAAUUUUAGCCUUAGUCUCCCGGCCAGUUUCAUAAAUUUUCAUCAGCCAGCGAACAUUUUGUCCGAUGGGCAUGUGUAAUUUCUAGAAGUGCUAGUUCUUCAGAAAAAGGAUACGUGCCUAAGUACACUAAACCAACGUUAGUUCUGCUGCUGUGUUGUUCCGGUUUUUAUUCCAAACUUCCAUUUUCACUCCUAAUGUUCACCCUGACGUGAACAGGAAAUGUGCAUGAUAUCAUUUGACUGUUGUAGGCCCCUAGAGUACUUCUAGGUGUUUUCAUGACCGAUGUCAGUUAACUUUUUGGGAGCCAACGCAUGUGAGGCGAAACGUGUUUUUUACCUGACUUGGGAGUCAAAUGUUUUGAAUGUCUACUAUACAUUGAUUAAGGCAUUUUCACGCACGAGCAGGAAACAAUGAUACAUUACUAAUACUUAAUUCAAGUCAGUGGCAGGAAAUGAUAAACCAUAACCAGCAACGCAUUAAUUACAGCAAUGCAUUACUUUUUCUGCAACUCAGAGAAUACCUUAAGUUUGGCAGUUUUUUAGCAACUCAGUCAACAUUGCAUGUAAGCUUAACACAAUAAUGCAUAUUUUUUCUUUUUUGUGUCACUCCUCACCACAUAUGGCAGAUUUAGUGUGAAGAGCCACCUGUACAAGAUUCCUGGGACAGCAGAACAUGCACCUCACGCACUACCCUGGCACCCUGGCUGAACAACCCGCAGCACAUCAUCUCCAGCUGAGAGGGGGACUCAUACAUUCAUUUGAAAUCAGCUCUACUGAGGUGAAAUGAUCAAGAGUCAAAAGCAUGCUGAAGAGAUAAACUUGAUGAUGGCUAUGUUUAUUUAAUUAGCAUUGUUUAUAUAGAUUACACAUUCCUUGUAAAAAAAAAAAUAAUUAAAAAAUUAGUUGUCGGAGCAAGAUAACAUGCACUGCUCCACCUGGGUGUCUUCAGCAGUAUGCACAGCCCGUCGUUCAUUGCAACCUGAAGCUACUGUAGGCCAGGGGUCCCCAAACUUUUUUUUAAAUCUGGGGGCCACAUUAUUGUUCCUGACUGUGAUCAGGGGCUGGAAUCAAUACCAAUCAUGUAAAAAAGGUGUGUGUGUGUGUGUGGGUGGGGGGGGGGGGGGGGGUCAAAAUUCCGAUGUCAAUUUCAUUAAUUUUCUUGAUUUCUUUGUUUUCAUGGCUUUGGCGUUCUGAUUGCCCACCUUCAGUUGAAAUUUUAUCCUCAUCAAUAAGUAUGUAUUAACAAGGAACUCUUUGCAGGACAGACAGCUGGCGGAACAUAUAACAGCAUCCAAAUUCACACUCUGAUAUACUGCAGAUUUUAAGAGUGCCAGGACAUGUUUCCCUUUAGAAAUGUGGGGGUAUUGGCAUCUAAAAAUGUGUUCAAUUUGCUCUGUUGUACGCUGUAAUACAACACUUGGUGGGAAUAACCCAUCCCUGAACUGCUUAUAUCUGAAAAAGGUGUAUUUCUCCUUGAGUGUAUCUCUGUCCUCCUCGUUUGCCUCCCACAGCGUAACACAACUCUUGCAAUCAAAUUUGGCAGAGGCUCUGAAGGCCACAUAGCCAGCAAGGUUUCUACAGGCUGCCAGGUUGUUGCUGCCUUGGUCCAUUACCAGCACCAUGGGAGUGAAGCCAGUGUCAAGCACCUUUUCCACCGCCUCCAUGAUUUUGGUUUUUAAGACCCCAUGCUUCAUGGUCCCAGAUGACAAGAAGUACCCUAUGGGUUGUUUCCAUUUCCCAGUUAGACUACGGAUCAUGAAAACCCCUGCAUGGUUGGCUGGUCUUCCCCCUUCGUCAUACCCUUCUACUUCAUCUUUCGAGAUGUUAUAAUUUAGGCUACAUUUCAAUGUAAUUUCAUCAAAUGUGAUGGCAACGUGCCUAUCUCGCUCUUCCAUAUGCUGCACUUGAUGUUUAAGUGCAUACAGCACAGGUUCAUGCCAUCCCGGCCCGAUGUCUACUCUCUGCAAGAUAUUUGAAAGGGUCCUGGCUGUAGGGAGCUUGAAAAUUCUCCUCAUGGUUCGGUAGGCUUUUGGCCCUGUACCCUUAACCUGUAACGCCCAACUUUUCAUGAAGUUGCUCCACCGAAUGGCCCUUGGUUUUUUUUUGGCAUUAUCAAUUUGCUCGUUGACAAAUUGUGCGGCUUGUUUUGGCAAUACUUUGGAAAUUUCCCUCUUUAAUGUUUGUUUGCUGAUAGAUGGUGUCUUUUUCUUUAGCCUUGACAGCUUUGAUUUGUAGCAGCCAAUUUUUCUUUUCAGUUUUUCCACUGUGUUGUCAUUGCUGACACUGGCCAGUACAUCAGUGCCUAAAAAGAAAUGUGACAACUGUAACAACAGACUUAUGCACAGACUACUACCUAUGCAGUGUUCAACACUCAGAAUGUAUCUGUUACCACCAUUUGCCAUUAAAUCACUUACUAUCCAGGA